GAACCUCAGAUCAGGCGAGACUACCCGCUGAAUUUAAGCAUAUCAAUAAGCGGAGGAAAAGAAACUAACAAGGAUUCCCUCAGUAACGGCGAGCGAAGUGGGAAGAGCUCGAGCCUGAAAUCCCUGGCAGGUACUGUCAGGGAGUUGUGGCCGAGAGAGGCAACUUGGUCUCGACUGAUGCUGUCAAAGUUGACCUGGAAAGGCGCGUCAGAGAGGGUGAGAGCCCCGUACGUGACACCAUCGGUCUGGACUGUAUUGCCUUCGGAGAGUCGGGUUGUUUGGGAAUGCAGCCCAAAGUGGGUGGUAAACUCCAUCUAAAGCUAAAUACUGGCACGAGACCGAUAGCAAACAAGUACCGUGAGGG
RNAcentral lists this ribosomal RNA (364 nucleotides) under Hymeniacidon heliophila. RNAcentral's name for it is "eukaryotic LSU rRNA". It matches the Rfam family "Eukaryotic large subunit ribosomal RNA", at positions 1 to 359 of the family's 3401-position model. The record is from RNAcentral. Lineage: Eukaryota; Metazoa; Porifera; Demospongiae; Suberitida; Halichondriidae.